UGGCGGACGGGUGAGUAACGCGUGGGUAACCUGCCUCAUACAGGGGGAUAACAGUUAGAAAUGACUGCUAAUACCGCAUAAGACCACAGAGCCGCAUGGCUCGGUGGGAAAAACUCCGGUGGUAUGAGAUGGACCCGCGUCUGAUUAGGUAGUUGGUGGGGUAACGGCCUACCAAGCCAACGAUCAGUAGCCGACCUGAGAGGGUGACCGGCCACAUUGGGACUGAGACACGGCCCAAACUCCUACGGGAGGCAGCAGUGGGGAAUAUUGCACAAUGGGGGAAACCCUGAUGCAGCGACGCCGCGUGAGCGAAGAAGUAUUUCGGUAUGUAAAGCUCUAUCAGCAGGGAAGAAAAUGACGGUACCUGACUAAGAAGCACCGGCUAAAUACGUGCCAGCAGCCGCGGUAAUACGUAUGGUGCAAGCGUUAUCCGGAUUUACUGGGUGUAAAGGGAGCGUA
This 459-nucleotide ribosomal RNA is filed under the name uncultured bacterium. Its description in RNAcentral is "bacterial SSU rRNA". It matches the Rfam family "Bacterial small subunit ribosomal RNA", at positions 96 to 573 of the family's 1533-position model. The record is from RNAcentral.